This 46-nucleotide non-coding RNA is filed under the name Trichobilharzia regenti. Lineage: Eukaryota; Metazoa; Platyhelminthes; Trematoda; Strigeidida; Schistosomatidae. The record is from RNAcentral.
GUACUGAUGAAGAGUCCCAAACUAGGACGAAACGGCUGUACAGUAC